This 585-nucleotide ribosomal RNA is filed under the name uncultured bacterium. Its description in RNAcentral is "partial 16S ribosomal RNA". It matches the Rfam family "Bacterial small subunit ribosomal RNA", at positions 355 to 1375 of the family's 1533-position model. The record is from RNAcentral.
UGGGGAAUUUUGGACAAUGGGCGAAAGCCUGAUCCAGCAAUGCCGCGUGUGUGAAGAAGGCCUUCGGGUUGUAAAGCACUUUUGUCCGGAAAGAAAUCCUUGGCUCUAAUACAGUCGGGGGAUGACGGUACCGGAAGAAUAAGCACCGGCUAACUACGUGCCAGCAGCCGCGGUAAUACGUAGGGUGCAAGCGUUAAUCGGAAUUACUGGGCGUAAAGCGUGCGCAGGCGGUUUGCUAAGACCGAUGUGAAAUCCCCGGGCUCAACCUGGGAACUGCAUUGGUGACUGGCAGGCUAGAGUAUGGCAGAGGGGGGUAGAAUUCCACGUGUAGCAGUGAAAUGCGUAGAGAUGUGGAGGAAUACCGAUGGCGAAGGCAGCCCCCUGGGCCAAUACUGACGCUCAUGCACGAAAGCGUGGGGAGCAAAACAGGAUUAGAUACCCUGGUAGCCCACGCCCUAAACGAUGUCAACUGUUGUUGGGGAUUCAUUUCCUUAGUAACGUAGCUAACGCGUGAAGUUGACCGCCUGGGGAGUACGGUCGCAAGAUUAAAACUCAAAGGAAUUGACGGGGUCAUAGCUGUUUCCU